UGCUCCCACCUGCGGAGAACCGGAGUCUGGCGAUGCCAAGGCGCUUCUGGGAAUUGUAGUUCCGGGCGGGAUGAGGGCAGCACGCCUGGCUCCGCUCCUUCUUACGCAUGCGCGACUCCGAGCUGGCCAAAGAAGUUCGUCCCCUUUGUGAGGCCCGGGAUGGGAGCUCUGUCUUCCCAGGAUUCUCCCCAUUUCCAAGAGAAGAGCACAGAAGAGGGAGAAGUGGCUGCUCUGCGCCUCACGGCCAGAUCCCAGGAGGAGAACUAUUUAUGCAGUUAGAAAGAGAGGGAAUAUUUAUGGAAGACACUGCGUGCUUUUACUUGGCAGAAAUCUCCAUGGCUUUGGGGCAUUUACAUCAAAAGGGGAUCAUCUACAGAGACUUGAAGCUGGAGAAUAUCAUGCUUAAUCACCAAGGUCAUGUGAAACUAACAGACUUUGGACUAUGCAAAGAAUCAUUCAUGACGGAACAGUCACACACACAUUUUGUGGAGCAAUAGAAUACAUGUGAGCUGCAUGUUAAACAUAAUUGGUUUGGAGCCUCCAUUUACUGGGGAGAAUAGAAAGAAAACAAUUGACAACAUCCUCAAAUGUAAACUAAUUUGCCUCCCUACCUCACACAAGAAGCCAGAGAUCUGCUUAAAAAGCUACUGAAAAGAAAUGCUGCUUCUCAUCUGGGAGCUGGUCCUGGGGAUGCUGGAGAUGUUCAAGCUCAUCCAUUCUUUAGACACAUUAACUGGGAAGAACUUCUGGCUCGAAAGGUGGAGCCCCCAUUUAAACCUCUGUUGCAAUCUGAAGAGGAUGUAAGUCAGUUUGAUUCCAAGUUUACACGUCAGACACCUGUCGACAGCCCAGAUGACUCAACUCUCAGUGAAAGUGCCCAUCAGCUCUUUCUGGAGCUUCGCCAGAAUACCUCCUGGAGUUGUUGACAUUGGGCCCUACUGGAACCUUCCUGAAUGAUCAGCGCUCCUGGAUGGGCCCCACCGCGGGGUGCCGCAGCUCCACCAUGUGCUCGCCGUCGUCCUCCAGCUGGUUUACGCUCUGCUCCUGGCUCAGCAGCUCGUGCUGCUUGAAGUCUGGGGGCGAGUCGGGUGAGAAGCGGCGGUGAGGACCAGGAUGGCCCUGGUCGCCCCCACCUGGCCCCAACCUCUGCCAGCCGACCUCGUACUCCCGCCGCACGCCCGCAGGGUCGGCCGUGAGGUCGCUCCAGUCCUGCUGCAGGAUGCGGCACUGCUGCUCCGCCAGGGCGCUCAGCUGCCGCGUGCAGCCCUGCAAGUGCGUGUACAGGCUGACCAGGCUCUGCCCGCGCCACGACGCCGCCUUCUGUGCUCAGGACCCGCCGCCAGCAGCAGGGUGGGGAGAGAGACAGUGGGGGGCAAAAGGCGCCAUUGGGCCGCGCUCAGGAACACUGGCCCCGGGCAGGGUCCAGGCGGCCACCCAGGCCCACCCGCAGCCACCCUGCCCGACCCUCCCUCCUGCUCACCAGUAGGUCUCGGUAUUGGCCCCGGAUGGUGGCUGCAUCCUGCCUCGACCAAGGGGAGAAACAAGCCCGUGAGAGGUGGGGUGCGGGGAGACGGCCCCCUAAGAUCUGGACCAGCCAUACCCCACCCACCCCUAUCCCCAGGGCCCAGCCGAUCUAGCUCCGGCUCUGACUGGAAAAACAGGGGCUGGGGCUGGCCCCGGAUGUGACAUCCUCCCGGCUCACCCACCGGCCCCACGAGGCUCCCCAGCUGCUCUCCUUGGUCGUCGAUCUCGUUCUGCAGGAUGUUGAGCUCCGCGAUCUGUUCCUCCAGCUCCGCCAUGCCCGGCCCGUACUGGCCUGCGCAGACCUGCUUCUGCAGGAGAGCCGGCGGCUCAGUCACCGCAGGACCGCGGUGGGGAGCCAGAGAACCCCACACGUCUCCCACCCAGAGAAGUGGACUUGGUCAUUUGGGCAGAGCGUGGACGAGCCUGGGAGCAGCCCGGGUGCACGCCCUGCAGCUCACCCAGGGGCGAGGCCAUUCUGCAGUGGCCCCUGAGUCCCACUGGUUCCCAGACGCUGGGCUCAGCCUCUGAGAAGUCUCCAGCUCCAUCCUACCUUGUCUGUGACCCAGCCUCAGUGCUUCCUGUCUGGACACCUCCAGCCAAGCUCUAGGGCCCUCAGAACGCCCUGCUCCACCUGGGCCCUUCCCCACUGUCCCUCUAUUGUCAUGAUGACACCCCUUCUGUGUGGCAUCAAAGCACAACUCCUCACCCAGGGAUCAGAAUGCCCCAUGACCUGGCUCUGCCCACCUGCCCAGAAAUCCCCAAGUCCCAUCGAACCGUAGGCUUCCUCCUGGCAGGUGCCUUUGCUCCUUCUUUCUGGAAUUGUUCUCUCCUCACUACUUCACCCUGAUCCAACCGAGCCCUCUCACCCCUCUGAGGUCUCUUCAUGUGCCUCCUCCUGCAGGAAGUCUUCCCUGACUGCACUGUCUCCUCUGCUGUCUCCCUGCCCAGACCCCUGAGCCACCCCUACACCCUGACUGUUCAAGCCUACAGUCAGGCCCUGGGUUAAAUGCAGUUCCGUAUCGCUCUCUGAUCACACUGGGGUGUGACUUUGAGCUCCUGACCUGUUUCUGCUCCAGCACGUGUGCCCAGUUGACCCUGGAUCCCACGUCUGGGCGGCAGCACCAUCUUCUCGUACAGGGCACGGUACACUCCUGGGUCACCUGCUCGUGCAGCUGCUCGAUGCUGUCAAGAAGCCGACCCAGGCCGGCAGGUCAGGGCUGGGCCUGGGUCUUCCCCAGGGACCCCCAGCCCUGCCGCAGCCCCACUCACUCCUUCUCAGUCUCCUCAGCCUGCGGGUGCUUGAGCCGCCGGGCCUUGUCCUCGUCCAGGAAGAGGUCCUUGAGCAGCACCUCGGCCUCCUUCAGGCUGCCGCCCGUCUCCUGCUGGUGCUGCAGGGCCUGGCUCUGCUCACUGUUCAGCCGGUCCUGUGGGCAGGGGAUGGGCAGACUCGCCAGGGCCCAGAGCCCCCACACCCCAGCUGCCCAUCACUGUGCGCCUGAGCCCCACCUUUGGGACCCCAGCUAUGCUGGCCAACCUCGAGGCCCACGCCAGGCACAGGGUCAGGCCCAGGGCGUCCGUGGGGCAGGUGACAAGGACACAGGGGAGCCCAGCAAAGAAGGAAGCUGAGCCCUCUCUCCCACCGUGUGUUAGGGGACAGGCGGUGCAGGACAAAUGUCAUCUGUCCCAUCUUCACCAUCACCAGGGGGCACUCAGGGAGUGCCAGGCCUGAUGAUGGGCCUCCCAUGUCACCCAGCCUGCCCACGCCCUGCCAACUGCUGCCAUGCCCGGGGCCUCACCUGCUGCAGCCUCUUCUGCGUCUCCAGGAUGUCCCGCUCCACCUGGUCGGGGUUGGCUUGCAUGCGGGAGAUGAGCAGGGCCAGCUCCUGGGUGGCAGCCCUGGUGGGUGGAGGGGACAGUGGGCAGCUCGGUGGAAGAGGCCCCUCUGUGCCCCAUCCAGGUGGCAUCCCCUGCCCUCCCUCCACCCCAUACUGCCCCCAGAGCCUAGCUCACUGCCCUGACUUUGGGGUCUCUCUCUGAAGGAGGCUCUGUGAGCUAGUCCUGGUUGGGGGUGUUAGCACUGCCCCGCCACAUGAGGGGUCAAAAGGUGAGGGUCUCAGGUCUGUGUGGUGCUGAGGGGGCAGGCGGCCUUGGUGUCCCAGCCUCAGCCAGCUGUGCUGGCAGUGAGUUCCCGACCCCAUCCAGCUGCCUGCCACUUCCCCUCCGCGAGCCGGUGAAUCACCGGCUCAGCCACUAGUACCUGAGCCAGCCUGGCUGGGCCCUGGGAGGGGCAGUUGGGCUGGCUGGGGCAGGGAGGCAGCAGCAUGCCCCCCACCCCCACCUCCUCCCACUCCAGCCCUGUGUUCCCCUAUACCUCCUCCACCCCGGGGAGCUUUGCCAGAGUGCUGGCUUCAGUAGCCGUCUAGAGGAGCCUCACACUGUCAGAGCCGGGGAGGGGAGGCAGGCACAAGAGACUGCUGGGCACCCUAACAUUCUCCAGAGUUGAGGGUUCAAAGCCCAGAUUGGGCCCUGACUUGCUCUGAGUCACAUGGUCAGGGACGGAGGGGAAACCUUGCUUCCACCCCAGGGCUUUUUCUGUGCAUUCGCCCUGCAGCCUCCAUAGAGCACCUGCUGUGUGCAUGCAGUCACUCUGUGGAGGUCACAAGGUCAAGCAGACCUAAAAGAGGGCAGAUUGGUCCAAGCCUCAUGAGCACAGUGCCUUAUAGGGGAUCAUUAUCCUGGGGCAGGGGAAGCCUUGAACUGGGUCAAAGGAUGGCCCCCCCCCCCCCACACCUCAGGCAAAGGGACAGUGCUGGUGAAGGCACAGCAGUCUGGAAGAACUCUGUGGCCAAGACAGCCUGGUUUCAUCUUUCUCCAUCAUUAAUGCUGUGUGACCUUGGGCAAGUUACUCAACCUCUCUGUGCCUGAGGUGCCUCACUCGUAAAGCGGGAUUUUAAUAAAAAUAUCUAUGCCUUA
Molecule: RNA transcript, 4497 nt
Organism: Pan troglodytes (chimpanzee)
Lineage: Eukaryota; Metazoa; Chordata; Mammalia; Primates; Hominidae
Exons: 11
Source: RefSeq, a predicted model, not a curated record